RNAcentral lists this ribosomal RNA (656 nucleotides) under Leucobacter holotrichiae. RNAcentral describes it as "bacterial SSU rRNA". It matches the Rfam family "Bacterial small subunit ribosomal RNA", at positions 46 to 710 of the family's 1533-position model. The record is from RNAcentral. Lineage: Bacteria; Bacillati; Actinomycetota; Actinomycetes; Micrococcales; Microbacteriaceae.
GCGUCUACCAUGCAGUCGACGCUGAAGCUCCCUGCUUGCAGGGGGUGGAUGAGUGGCGAACGGGUGAGUAACACGUGAGUAACCUGCCCCUGACUCUGGGAUAAGCGCUGGAAACGGUGUCUAAUACUGGAUAUGUCCCAUCACCGCAUGGUGUGUGGGUGGAAAGAUUUAUCGGUUGGGGAUGGACUCGCGGCCUAUCAGCUGGAUGGUGGGGUAAUGGCUCACCAUGGCGACGACGGGUAGCCGGCCUGAGAGGGUGACCGGCCACACUGGGACUGAGACACGGCCCAGACUCCUACGGGAGGCAGCAGUGGGGAAUAUUGCACAAUGGGCGCAAGCCUGAUGCAGCAACGCCGCGUGAGGGAUGACGGCCUUCGGGUUGUAAACCUCUUUUGUCAAGGAAGAAGCCUUCGGGUGACGGUACUUGGAGAAAAAGCACCGGCUAACUACGUGCCAGCAGCCGCGGUAAUACGUAGGGUGCAAGCGUUGUCCGGAAUUAUUGGGCGUAAAGAGCUCGUAGGCGGCUUGUCGCGUCUGCCGUGAAAGCCCGAGGCUCAACUUCGGGUCUGCGGUGGGUACGGGCAGGCUAGAGUGCGGUAGGGGAGAUUGGAAUUCCUGGUGUAGCGGUGGAAUGCGCAGAUAUCAGGAGGAACACC